RNAcentral lists this transfer RNA (74 nucleotides) under Ignisphaera aggregans. RNAcentral describes it as "tRNA-Arg". It matches the Rfam family "tRNA". Rfam says of the family: Transfer RNA (tRNA) molecules are approximately 80 nucleotides in length. The record is from RNAcentral. Lineage: Archaea; Thermoproteati; Thermoproteota; Thermoprotei; Desulfurococcales; Desulfurococcaceae.
GGGCCCGUAGCUCAGCUUGGAUAGAGCGCCGGCCUCCGGAGCCGGAGGUCCGGGGUUCAAAUCCCCGCGGGCCC